RNAcentral lists this ribosomal RNA (1077 nucleotides) under Bacillus amyloliquefaciens. Its description in RNAcentral is "bacterial SSU rRNA". It matches the Rfam family "Bacterial small subunit ribosomal RNA", at positions 1 to 1063 of the family's 1533-position model. The record is from RNAcentral. Lineage: Bacteria; Bacillati; Bacillota; Bacilli; Caryophanales; Bacillaceae.
UUUAUCGGAGAGUUUGAUCCUGGCUCAGGACGAACGCUGGCGGCGUGCCUAAUACAUGCAAGUCGAGCGGACAGAUGGGAGCUUGCCCUGAUGUUAGCGGCGGACGGGUGAGUAACACGUGGGUAACCUGCCUGUAAGACUGGGAUAACUCCGGGAAACCGGGGCUAAUACCGGAUGGUUGUCUGGACCGCAUGGUUCAGACAUAAAAGGUGGCUUCGGGUACCACUUACAGAUGGACCCGCGGCGCAUUAGCUAGUUGGUGAGGUAACGGCUCACCAAGGCGACGAUGCGUAGCCGACCUGAGAGGGUGAUCGGCCACACUGGGACUGAGACACGGCCCAGACUCCUACGGGAGGCAGCAGUAGGGAAUCUUCCGCAAUGGACGAAAGUCUGACGGAGCAACGCCGCGUGAGUGAUGAAGGUUUUCGGAUCGUAAAGCUCUGUUGUUAGGGAAGAACAAGUGCCGUUCAAAUAGGGCGGCACCUUGACGGUACCUAACCAGAAAGCCACGGCUAACUACGUGCCAGCAGCCGCGGUAAUACGUAGGUGGCAAGCGUUGUCCGGAAUUAUUGGGCGUAAAGGGCUCGCAGGCGGUUUCUUAAGUCUGGUGAAAGCCCCCGGCUCAACCGGGGAGGGUCCUUGGAAACUGGGGAACUUGAGUGCAGAAGAGGAGAGUGGAAUUCCACGUGUAGCGGUGAAAUGCGUAGAGAUGUGGAGGAACACCAGUGGCGAAGGCGACUCUCUGGUCUGUAACUGACGCUGAGGAGCGAAAGCGUGGGGAGCGAACAGGAUUAGAUACCCUGGUAGUCCACGCCGUAAACGAUGAGUGCUAAGUGUUAGGGGGUUUCCGCCCCUUAGUGCUGCAGCUAACGCAUUAAGCACUCCGCCUGGGGAGUACGGUCGCAAGACUGAAACUCAAAGGAAUUGACGGGGGCCCGCACAAGCGGUGGAGCAUGUGGUUUAAUUCGAAGCAACGCGAAGAACCUUACCAGGUCUUGACAUCCUCUGACAAUCCUAGAGAUAGGACGUCCCCUUCGGGGGCGAGUGACAGGUGGUGCAUGGUUGUCGUCAGCACGU